Peromyscus eremicus (cactus mouse) is the source of this 1085-nucleotide long non-coding RNA. RefSeq lists it as uncharacterized. The transcript has 3 exons. NCBI's taxonomy places the organism in Eukaryota, Metazoa, Chordata, Mammalia, Rodentia, Cricetidae. The record is from RefSeq and is a predicted model, not a curated record.
CAGCAGCUUCUAGUACAAUGAAAGCUAGUCAUCAGAGAGGAGCCUUUCAGAUCAGUUCCAGCUCAUCGGCCUCUUGCCCCUGUUUCUGAAGUACAUGGUGUCUUAGGAAAUAUGGACAUCCCUUUCACCUCUGGGGAGGACCUAGGAUCAACUCUGAGAACCCAUUUGUUGGAUUACAACCACACAUAACUGCAGAUCCACGUGAUCCAACACCCUUUUCUGAAUUCUGUGGGCAACAGGCACAGAUGUAGUGCACAGAUACUAGGCAAAACACUCAUAUGUAUAAAAUACAUGCUUAAAAUACCUAAAUAAGUACUACUGGCUACAAGGAACAAUUAGUCAGUGGCCAUCAGCUAUACCAUCGAGAACUGGCUAUGUGGACAGAUGAUCUAAUGUUGGCCUAUAAGUCAAAGAAAGACAAACUCCAAAAACUUCCUGUUGAUUCUCAGUAUAGUAAUCAUGUGUCUGUGUUACUAAUAGUUAAAAUUGCCUCAUUAGGAGAAUUUCCUUUACAUCCAUAUAUUUCACAAUAGUAUGAGAAAUGGGUGUUUAAAAUGGCAAUAAUCCAUUUUGCAAGUGCUUAAAAAAAGUAGGAGCAAUGGAAAUCUGUUACAACCAUCAUUAUACUUUGGAUGAGGAAAGUAAAAGAAAAUGAGAAAGGAAAGCUAAGGCGGUGGUGUGGACAAAGUGUUUGAAUCAGAAGCAGGAGCAAAGGAAUGCCAGGAAGCAAGUGCAUUUUUUCUUUGGAGAGCCACAGUAGCCUGUUAACCAGAGAAACUACGUUUGUGUGGAGAGCACAGAUGAUGAUAAAACUGAAGAGUGGGUAAUGUGAAGAAGGUCAGAUGAUGAGGAAUCAACUCAAUAUUCAGGAAUCAGAAAUCCACUCUGUCAUUGUGUUCCUAGAAGAGAAGUUAUGUUGAGCACAGAAAAUGGAAGAAGGUCAAUGUAAGAAAAAAAAGUUCAAACCAAACAGUCAACGUUAUAUACCAUGGAGAUCCUGUGUACUUGCAAUACACUGGUUUAGGCAUAAAUUAUCUCCUAAAUAAGAAAAGCAUCUCUGUAAAUAAGUGAUCAUAAUAAAUAAA